GGGAUAUUGCACAAUGGGGGAAACCCUGAUGCAGCAACGCCGCGUGAGGGAUGAAGGUUUUCGGAUUGUAAACCUCUGUCCUUAGGGAAGAAAAAAAUGACGGUACCUAAGGAGGAAGCUCCGGCUAACUACGUGCCAGCAGCCGCGGUAAUACGUAGGGAGCGAGCGUUGUCCGGAUUUAUUGGGUGUAAAGGGUGCGUAGGCGGCUAUUUAAGUCAGGCGUGUAAUUCAGAGGCUUAACCUCUUGACUGCGCUUGAAACUGGGUAGCUUGAGUGGAGUAGAGGCAGAUGGAAUUUCCAGUGUAGCGGUGAAAUGCGUAGAUAUUGGAAGGAACAUCGGUGGCGAAGGCGAUCUGCUGGGCUCUAACUGACGCUGAGGCACGAAAGCAUGGGGAGCAAACA
This 402-nucleotide ribosomal RNA is filed under the name uncultured bacterium. Its description in RNAcentral is "bacterial SSU rRNA". It matches the Rfam family "Bacterial small subunit ribosomal RNA", at positions 358 to 774 of the family's 1533-position model. The record is from RNAcentral.